Cercocebus atys (sooty mangabey) is the source of this 886-nucleotide long non-coding RNA. RefSeq lists it as uncharacterized. The transcript is spliced from 4 exons. Lineage: Eukaryota; Metazoa; Chordata; Mammalia; Primates; Cercopithecidae. The record is from RefSeq and is a predicted model, not a curated record.
CCACACCCGGCUGAAUGAACCAUUUUUUAAAAGAAAGCAUCGUAUUGCCAUUGUUUAUACACUUAACAGAUUUUUGUUGUGUCUCUGUUUUGCUGUUGUUUGGGAGUGUUAACAUUUUAUUACAUUAUAGCCGAGGAAAGCAGGUUGUUGCGUUUGGAGAUUGUUACUGUCUGUGUCCCCUCCUAGUUCAUAUGUUGAAGCCCUAACCCGCAGUGAGGCUGUAUUUGAAGAGGAGGGCCUUCAGGGAAGUAAUUAAGGUUAAAUGAGGCCGUAUGGGUGGGUCCCUUAUCUGAAAGAAAUAGUGUCCUGUUGGGAAGAGACAUCAGAGAGCCUGCUGUCUCUUCAUGCACAGGCACCAGGAAAGGCCAUGUGAGGACACAGCAAGAAGGCAGUCAUCUGCAAGCCAGGAAGAGCGUCCUCAUCAGAAACUGAAUUGGCUCCUGCCUUGAUCUGGGACUUCAGCCUCCAGAACUUUGAGGAACUCCCCAAAGAUGGAUAACACUAACAUAUAGUCAGUGGGAAAGAAAUCUCAGAAAAUGUUCAUUUGUCACUGUAAUGGGAAAUGGGAAGGAAGAAAAACAGCACUUAUCAAGCAUUUUCUAUGUACAAACUGCCAUUUCAGACUCAGAGCAGUCCUUGAAGGUCAAGAACUAUGGAAUCUUUCAGAUGAUAUUGUGAUACUCCUGGACAAAGAUUGAAUUUGUUCUUCAUGAAAAAUGUCUGGGACCGUUUAUGUAAGUAUGUUUAGUCAUUUAAAGUUUGCCAUAAGCAAAUUAAGGAUGGGCACUCAUGGGAACACAGCAGGAAUAUGAGAGAGUUUAAAAGACAUCACUGUAUCUAUAAUUCAGAGUUAGCAGUGUCUUUACCAAAUCAGUUCAAGUAAGGA